Long non-coding RNA from Numida meleagris (helmeted guineafowl), 582 nucleotides. RefSeq lists it as uncharacterized. The record is from RefSeq and is a predicted model, not a curated record. The transcript is spliced from 3 exons. NCBI's taxonomy places the organism in Eukaryota, Metazoa, Chordata, Aves, Galliformes, Numididae.
GCCCUCCCCGCGGAUGGGAGCUGCUGGAUGUGCCCUGUUGCAGCCCCGCAGCUUCCCCUGCAGAGCCCUGGCAGUCCAUCCCUCCUCAGAGAGGAGUUCCCGCCUGCACUGAAAGAAUAGCUCAACAUCUGUCAUCCCAUUCUCUGCCAUGGCCCAAAAUCAGGAAGACUACAGCUGUCCUGUUCCUUUCAGAUACUUCUGGGAUAGCGAGGUUGGGAAUUAUACUACAACUGCUGAGCGCUGGAUGAAUCUUUUGUAAUAUGUCUGCAUGGAAAAGAGGGAAAGGAGUGGGGAAGAAAGAAAGAGGCUGGGAAGAAUAUGUUACCACCUUAAAAAUGUUUAACCACAUACCUUCAUCAGUUCAUUUGUUUAAUAUCUAUCAAAUUAGUAAAAAUAUAUAUAAAUAAUAGAAAUAUAUAUGUAAUAGAAAUUCAAGACAAUUUUUUGAGUGAAUUAUACUGUUCUCUUACAGUAGCAGUCAAGUUAGCAGUCAUUGGUAGAUAGUGUGUUUCUUUUCUUACAACCACAAUUAAGAGCUACGGCAAUAAACCUCAGAGUCCCAACCAGUGGCAAUUACUUUAG